This 630-nucleotide long non-coding RNA is filed under the name Zea mays. RNAcentral's name for it is "drought responsive lncRNA". The record is from RNAcentral. Lineage: Eukaryota; Viridiplantae; Streptophyta; Magnoliopsida; Poales; Poaceae.
CUUGAUCUGAAAAUUGCAGCACCAGGACCCAAAGCCUCAAGAUGUCUAGCAUCGGCAAGCCUCCAACACUCAAACUCAUCCAGAAAAACUGAUUUUAUUCCAUGAAUGGAAGGCCUGACGCCAUCAAAAACCGCCUUAUUACGAUGAAGCCAUAAACACCAAGCCCCCAAGAUGAUGAUACUAUUAAAGCCUCUUCUUUUGGAUUUGUGCACUUUCUUACACACCUUCUCCCACCAGUCAGCAAAAGUGGACUCAUUAGAGGCAGGAGAAAAAUUAGCCAGUCCCAGUGAAGAGAGAAUGUAGAACCAAAAUUGCCGCGCAAAAAUGCAAUUGCCUUUUCUAGCAACCUGUUCCUAUGAAUUUCUUUUAUUGACAACAUGAAUUAGUCUAUUUUAGUUCAUCUCUUUCUUGUCACAAAUUUAAAUGAAUAUAAUUGUUUGUUUCAGUGGCAAUUCUGUGAAGCCCAAAGGUUCCAAGUCACCAUGAGAAAAUUGAAAUGGCGAGAUCUCUUAAUCUAAUUGUUGCACCUUGGAAGGUCUGAACCAUCAGAGUUUAAUUGUAUCACCCAUUUACACAAGUUCCUACCAUCAGAGUUCAACUGUAUCACCCAUCCAUAAGCAAUUCCUUGUG